AUUGAACGCUGGCGGCAUGCCUUACACAUGCAAGUCGAACGGUAACGCGGGGCAACCUGGCGACGAGUGGCGAACGGGUGAGUAAUGCAUCGGAACGUGCCCAGAAGUGGGGGAUAGCCCGGCGAAAGCCGGAUUAAUACCGCAUGAGACCUGAGGGUGAAAGCGGGGGAUCGCAAGACCUCGCGCUUUUGGAGCGGCCGAUGUCAGAUUAGCUAGUUGGUGGGGUAAAGGCCUACCAAGGCGACGAUCUGUAGCUGGUCUGAGAGGACGACCAGCCACACUGGGACUGAGACACGGCCCAGACUCCUACGGGAGGCAGCAGUGGGGAAUUUUGGACAAUGGGCGCAAGCCUGAUCCAGCCAUGCCGCGUGCGGGAAGAAGGCCUUCGGGUUGUAAACCGCUUUUGUCAGGGAAGAAACGCUCUGGGCUAAUACCCUGGGGUAAUGACGGUACCUGAAGAAUAAACACCGGCUAACUACGUG
This 482-nucleotide ribosomal RNA is filed under the name uncultured bacterium. RNAcentral describes it as "partial 16S ribosomal RNA". It matches the Rfam family "Bacterial small subunit ribosomal RNA", at positions 29 to 507 of the family's 1533-position model. The record is from RNAcentral.